Molecule: long non-coding RNA, 959 nt
Organism: Raphanus sativus (radish)
Lineage: Eukaryota; Viridiplantae; Streptophyta; Magnoliopsida; Brassicales; Brassicaceae
Exons: 3
Source: RefSeq, a predicted model, not a curated record
GGCGUUUUGACUGAGACUACGCCUGGCAUUGCUGAUUUGUUGAUUGGAUCGAAUGUGGAGAAGGAGAAGAGUCAGUGAAGAAGUAAGGGCAUUUUCGUAAUAGGUUUCAGAUAGGAGGACAUAACCGUCACGCUGGUAGGAGCAAUCUUAUAUGAUUCUAUCUCUGCGAUGAGGAUGAGUUUGAUGACCCCGAGACAAAUAUGAAACAAACGAUGAUCUUACCCAAGCUUCAAUCUUUGUUUUCUUUUGCGUUUUUUUUUCUUUGCUAAACUCAUGAUGAAUUACUUCCUAACUUAUUGAUCAGUUCUUUGUGGUUUAUCAUUUCUUUAUGUGGGGAAAUGAUCUCACUUUGAGUAAUGGUUCCAGCAAAAGGUACAGCUUCUCUAUUGAUACUUAAUCUGCUUUCGAUAUGGGUACUCCACAUCAACUUAUAUUAUACUAUUAAUCUCUCUUGCGUGUUUGAUCGAUUAUUAAUCUCGAUUCCGGAGAGUUUCUCGCCGUCAAACAGCAGAGAUCUAGCUCAUUGUUCCCUUAUGAACUUCAAGAGGCUGUGCUCCUACCGCUGAGGCACAUCGUCUUCUUCGGUCACUUUACUCAUAUUCAAACCUUAAACUGAAGCUUAAUACAAUCCAAACAUUGAUCUCAGUUUCGCACUUGUCAGUGUUUGACAACCUUGUGCAAAAUAUAUCUUAGAAAAGACGUUAAGUAAUAGUGGAUUCCGUAUUAAUGUCCUACUUGGAGCAGCUUUGGCAAUGGCACCACGUAGCAAUGAUUUGGUAGGCCUGGCUGAAGAUUUUAAUGUUUGAAGAAAUUAUAAUUUUUGCUACACAAUAAUUUUUUAUAUCAAUAUUUAAAAAUAUAUGAAAAACAAUCAUCAGAAUUGUCAUUUUCUUAUUUUACUCAGUGUUUUCAUGUCCUAUCGAGAUCUGAUGUCAAACCAAUAAACCUGGUGGUCUGUA